AUUGAACGCGGGCGGCAGGCCUAACACAUGCAAGUCGAGCGGAAACGAGUUAUCUGAACCUUCGGGGAACGAUAACGGCGUCGAGCGGCGGACGGGUGAGUAAUGCCUAGGAAAUUGCCCUGAUGUGGGGGAUAACCAUUGGAAACGAUGGCUAAUACCGCAUGAUGCCACGGGCCAAAGAGGGGGACCUUCGGGCCUCUCGCGUCAGGAUAUGCCUAGGUGGGAUUAGCUAGUUGGUGAGGUAAGGGCUCACCAAGGCAACGAUCCCUAGCUGGUCUGAGAGGAUGAUCAGCCACACUGGAACUGAGACACGGUCCAGACUCCUACGGGAGGCAGCAGUGGGGAAUAUUGCACAAUGGGCGCAAGCCUGAUGCAGCCAUGCCGCGUGUAUGAAGAAGGCCUUCGGGUUGUAAAGUACUUUCAGUCGUGAGGAAGGCGUUGUCGUUAAUAGCGGCAUCGUUUGACGUUAGCGACAGAAGAAGCACCGGCUAACUCCGUGCCAGCAGCCGCGGUAAUACGGAGGGUGCGAGCGUUAAUCGGAAUUACUGGGCGUAAAGCGCAUGCAGGUGGUUUGUUAAGUCAGAUGUGAAAGCCCGGGGCUCAACCUCGGAAUAGCAUUUGAAACUGGCAGACUAGAGUACUGUAGAGGGGGGUAGAAUUUCAGGUGUAGCGGUGAAAUGCGUAGAGAUCUGAAGGAAUACCGGUGGCGAAGGCGGCCCCCUGGACAGAUACUGACACUCAGAUGCGAAAGCGUGGGGAGCAAACAGG
This 768-nucleotide ribosomal RNA is filed under the name uncultured Pseudoalteromonadaceae bacterium. Its description in RNAcentral is "bacterial SSU rRNA". It matches the Rfam family "Bacterial small subunit ribosomal RNA", at positions 28 to 776 of the family's 1533-position model. Lineage: Bacteria; Pseudomonadati; Pseudomonadota; Gammaproteobacteria; Alteromonadales; Pseudoalteromonadaceae. The record is from RNAcentral.